GCCCACGUCAUGGCGCCCGAGGAGAACGCGGGGACCGAACUCUUGCUGCAGAGUUUGGAGCGCCGCUUCCUGGCGGCGCGUGCACUGCGCUCCUUCCCCUGGCAGAGCUUAGAAGCAAAGUUAAGAGACUCAUCAGAUUCUGAGCUGCUGCGGGAUAUUUUGCAGAAGGCCGGGCUGGGAUCAGAUGGGAAGUGGAACCUCGUCAUGACCAGAAACUGUUUCCCUACGAAGAGCACUUGGAGAUGGCAAUGCUGAACCUCACACUGUAGGACUCACAUACGACUCCAACGGGAUUGUGAGAAUCAAGUCACUCUAGUGGGAAGAGUUUUUAUAUGGGAAAGCGGAUAAAACUUUCAUUGGACUGGAAUGUUUGGAGAAUGUUAAUUUCCAAAUCAGGAACCACAAACUGCCCUCUAAUAAGACAUCAGCUAUCUAAGCAUGUGGGUGCUCCCUUUCUGCCAGCAGUUCUGGUUCUUAAGAAAAUCGCCAUCAAUCAGACAUGAAAUCUCUGGCUCCAAAAAUAGCAUUUUCUUUGUGCAAAUAAAAACGUGUGUAUCAAGUAUGAUGUUCCCCCAAUGUGGACACACUCGGUUCCCCACAAAGCCAAGCCCGCUGCAGCUGCCACAUCCCUGGACACAUUCGGUUCCUCACAAAGCCAAGCCCGCUGCAGCUGCCACAUCCGUGGACACACUCGGUUCUUCACAAAGCCAAGCCCACUGCAGCUGCCACAUCCCUGGGCUUACAGUGCAGCAGGUGCUUUUUUCAAGACAGGAAUCAAAAUGUUAGGAACACGGCGGAAAGAUGACACCUGGAGAGCAAACGCAGGAUGAGGAGUACUGCAGAGGUCACACGGAAGUCGCAGAACAGUAAUCCGCUAGCAGGGGCAUGGGGCGUGAAGAACAGAAGAAGAUAGGAAGUGUUUCCGAGCCUCCAGAAAAGAAAUCAGAGCCAAGCACAGCUUCCCGGGUCACAGAACCAAUUCAUUUACCAGGCGGCACCACUGCCGUCAUUUCACCUUCUGGCCACUGGGAGGCGCUGCUCGAAAGGGUUUGCCCUGAGACUCCGAGAAGAAGCUGCGGGAAGGACAGCAGGGGUCCCGGGGUUUUAGCCUCUGGCCCAGGAGUUAUGUGUCCAUAACCAAAUGGAGCACACUCUGCACCCAGCUCUCAUCCCAUCGGAGCUGCUGCGAUUCCCGCAGGUUCUUCCAGAACUGGUUUAGCUUGCCCGCAGGAUCAGGAAAGUUUGAGAAAAGCAUCUGCAAAAAAAUAAAGAGCAGAGCUUAACUCAUUUCCUGUCCCCACCCCAUCCCAGGUCACCACCUGGCUGACCCCAGGUCCCCGACCCAACAACAAACCCUCCCAAGUUCCUAACUCCCUCACUUGGACUCGAGACUCUUCACGCCCCAGCAGCGCUCCGCCUCCAACUUGACAUCACGCUUUCUGUCCCACUUUCCCACACUUCGUGCCCUGGAGCACCUCCCGGCCUCUACACGCUGUAUGUUCCCCUGCGAGCACCCUCCUCUUGGCCUCUGGCCAAGUCCCACCCAUCUGUGGGUAACAAGGGGGUGUUGGUGUUCUUUUCAGCCUUGCUAAACUGUCUGAAUCAAGGAUCACAAACUACAGCCUGCAGGCCAAAUCCAGCCCACAGCCUGUGUUUGUAAAUAAAGUUUUAUUGGAACAAAGCCACACCCCUUAAUCGAAGAUGAUCUGUGGCUACUUUCACACCACAACAGAGUACCAUGGUUCUGACAGAGACUAGGAGACACAGUCUAAAUGACUUCUGACCUGGACCUUUACUGAAAAUCCUGCCAAUCA
Long non-coding RNA from Homo sapiens (human), 1814 nucleotides. Ensembl annotates it as family with sequence similarity 86, member A pseudogene. Its record names the gene FAM86C2P. Lineage: Eukaryota; Metazoa; Chordata; Mammalia; Primates; Hominidae. The record is from Ensembl.